UUUUAUGGAGAGUUUGAUCCUGGCUCAGGAUGAACGCUGGCGGCGUGCCUAAUACAUGCAAGUCGAGCGAACGGACGAGAAGCUUGCUUCUCUGAUGUUAGCGGCGGACGGGUGAGUAACACGUGGAUAACCUACCUAUAAGACUGGGAUAACUUCGGGAAACCGGAGCUAAUACCGGAUAAUAUUUUGAACCGCAUGGUUCAAAAGUAAAAGACGGUCUUGCUGUCACUUAUAGAUGGAUCCGCGCUGCAUUAGCUAGUUGGUAAGGUAACGGCUUACCAAGGCAACGAUGCAUAGCCGACCUGAGAGGGUGAUCGGCCACACUGGAACUGAGACACGGUCCAGACUCCUACGGGAGGCAGCAGUAGGGAAUCUUCCGCAAUGGGCGAAAGCCUGACGGAGCAACGCCGCGUGAGUGAUGAAGGUCUUCGGAUCGUAAAACUCUGUUAUUAGGGAAGAACAUAUGUGUAAGUAACUGUGCACAUCUUGACGGUACCUAAUCAGAAAGCCACGGCUAACUACGUGCCAGCAGCCGCGGUAAUACGUAGGUGGCAAGCGUUAUCCGGAAUUAUUGGGCGUAAAGCGCGCGUAGGCGGUUUUUUAAGUCUGAUGUGAAAGCCCACGGCUCAACCGUGGAGGGUCAUUGGAAACUGGAAAACUUGAGUACAGAAGAGGAAAGUGGAAUUCCAUGUGUAGCGGUGAAAUGCGCAGAGAUAUGGAGGAACACCAGUGGCGAAGGCGACUUUCUGGUCUGUAACUGACGCUGAUGUGCGAAAGCGUGGGGAUCAAACAGGAUUAGAUACCCUGGUAGUCCACGCCGUAAACGAUGAGUGCUAAGUGUUAGGGGGUUUCCGCCCCUUAGUGCUGCAGCUAACGCAUUAAGCACUCCGCCUGGGGAGUACGACCGCAAGGUUGAAACUCAAAGGAAUUGACGGGGACCCGCACAAGCGGUGGAGCAUGUGGUUUAAUUCGAAGCAACGCGAAGAACCUUACCAAAUCUUGACAUCCUUUGACAACUCUAGAGAUAGAGCUUUCCCCUUCGGGGGACAAAGUGACAGGUGGUGCAUGGUUGUCGUCAGCUCGUGUCGUGAGAUGUUGGGUUAAGUCCCGCAACGAGCGCAACCCUUAAGCUUAGUUGCCAUCAUUAAGUUGGGCACUCUAAGUUGACUGCCGGUGACAAACCGGAGGAAGGUGGGGAUGACGUCAAAUCAUCAUGCCCCUUAUGAUUUGGGCUACACACGUGCUACAAUGGACAAUACAAAGGGCAGCGAAACCGCGAGGUCAAGCAAAUCCCAUAAAGUUGUUCUCAGUUCGGAUUGUAGUCUGCAACUCGACUACAUGAAGCUGGAAUCGCUAGUAAUCGUAGAUCAGCAUGCUACGGUGAAUACGUUCCCGGGUCUUGUACACACCGCCCGUCACACCACGAGAGUUUGUAACACCCGAAGCCGGUGGAGUAACCUUUUAGGAGCUAGCCGUCGAAGGUGGGACAAAUGAUUGGGGUGAAGUCGUAACAAGGUAGCCGUAUCGGAAGGUGCGGCUGGAUCACCUCCUUUCUAA
RNAcentral lists this ribosomal RNA (1557 nucleotides) under Staphylococcus aureus. RNAcentral's name for it is "16S ribosomal RNA". It matches the Rfam family "Bacterial small subunit ribosomal RNA". The record is from RNAcentral. Lineage: Bacteria; Bacillati; Bacillota; Bacilli; Caryophanales; Staphylococcaceae.